This 441-nucleotide ribosomal RNA is filed under the name uncultured bacterium. Its description in RNAcentral is "partial 16S ribosomal RNA". It matches the Rfam family "Bacterial small subunit ribosomal RNA", at positions 338 to 795 of the family's 1533-position model. The record is from RNAcentral.
CCUACGGGUGGCAGCAGUGGGGGAUAUUGCACAAUGGGGGGAACCCUGAUGCAGCGACGCCGCGUGGGUGAAGGAGUGCUUCGGCAUGUAAAGCCCUAUCGGCAGGGAAGAAGCAAGACGGUACCUGACUAAGAAGCCCCGGCUAAGUACGUGCCAGCAGCCGCGGUAAUACGUAGGGGGCGAGCGUUAUCGGGAUUAACUGGGUGUAAAGGGAGCGUAGACGGCCUUUCAAGCCAGGGGUGAAAGCCCGGGGCCCAACCCCGGGACUGCGUUUGGAACUGGAUGGCUGGAGUGAGGGAGGGGCAGGCGGAAGUCCUGGUGUAGCGGUGAAAGGCGUAGAGAUCAGGAGGAACACCGGCGGCGAAGGCGGCCUGCUGGACUUCGACUGACGUUGAGGCUCGAAAGCGUGGGGAGCGAACAGGAUUAGAUACCCGAGUAGUC